RNAcentral lists this non-coding RNA (46 nucleotides) under Trichobilharzia regenti. Lineage: Eukaryota; Metazoa; Platyhelminthes; Trematoda; Strigeidida; Schistosomatidae. The record is from RNAcentral.
GUACUCCCGAAGAGUCCCAAACUAGGACGAAACAGCUGUCCAGUAC